This 106-nucleotide ribosomal RNA is filed under the name Triticum aestivum (bread wheat). Lineage: Eukaryota; Viridiplantae; Streptophyta; Magnoliopsida; Poales; Poaceae. The record is from RNAcentral.
GGAUGCGAGCAUACCAGCACUAAAGCACCGGAUCCCAUCAGAACUCCGAAGUUAAGCGUGCUUGGGCGAGAGUAGUACUAGUGGGAAGUCCUCGUGUUGCAUUCCC